Molecule: ribosomal RNA, 1473 nt
Filed under: Acinetobacter baumannii 25935_9
Lineage: Bacteria; Pseudomonadati; Pseudomonadota; Gammaproteobacteria; Moraxellales; Moraxellaceae
Description: bacterial LSU rRNA
Rfam family: Bacterial large subunit ribosomal RNA
Source: RNAcentral
AAGCCUGGUGAUAGCUGGUUCUCCCCGAAAGCUAUUUAGGUAGCGCCUCGGACGAAUACCAUAGGGGGUAGAGCACUGUUUCGGCUAGGGGGUCAUCCCGACUUACCAAACCGAUGCAAACUCCGAAUACCUAUGAGUACUAUCCGGGAGACAGACUGCGGGUGCUAACGUCCGUAGUCAAGAGGAAAACAAUCCAGACCGCCAGCUAAGGCCCCAAAAUCAUAGUUAAGUGGGAAACGAUGUGGGAAGGCAUAGACAGCUAGGAGGUUGGCUUAGAAGCAGCCACCCUUUAAAGAAAGCGUAAUAGCUCACUAGUCGAGUCGGCCUGCGCGGAAGAUGUAACGGGGCUAAAACUAUGUGCCGAAGCUGCGGAUGUAUACUUUGUAUACGUGGUAGGGGAGCGUUCUGUAAGCCGAUGAAGGUGUGUUGAGAAGCAUGCUGGAGGUAUCAGAAGUGCGAAUGCUGACGUGAGUAACGACAAAACGGGUGAAAAACCCGUUCGCCGAAAGACCAAGGGUUCCAGUCCAACGUUAAUCGGGGCUGGGUGAGUCGACCCCUAAGGCGAGGCCGAAAGGCGUAGUCGAUGGGAAAAUGGUUAAUAUUCCAUUACUUCUGUGUAAUGCGAUGAGAGGACGGAGAAGGCUAAAUCAGCCUGGCGUUGGUUGUCCAGGUGAAAGGAUGUAGGCAUGUAUCUUAGGCAAAUCCGGGGUACUCUAUGCUGAGAUCUGAUAGCAAGCUGUACUUGUACAGCGAAGUGGUUGAUGCCAUGCUUCCAGGAAAAGUCUCUAAGCUUCAGUUACACAGGAAUCGUACCCGAAACCGACACAGGUGGUCAGGUCGAGUAGACCAAGGCGCUUGAGAGAACUCUGCUGAAGGAACUAGGCAAAAUGGUACCGUAACUUCGGGAGAAGGUACGCUGUUGUUGGUGAUGGAACUCGCUUCCUGAGCUGACGACAGCCGCAGAAACCAGGCCGCUGCAACUGUUUAUUAAAAACAUAGCACUCUGCAAACACGAAAGUGGACGUAUAGGGUGUGAUGCCUGCCCGGUGCUGGAAGGUUAAUUGAUGGGGUUAGCGUAAGCGAAGCUCUUGAUCGAAGCCCCAGUAAACGGCGGCCGUAACUAUAACGGUCCUAAGGUAGCGAAAUUCCUUGUCGGGUAAGUUCCGACCUGCACGAAUGGCAUAAUGAUGGCGGCGCUGUCUCCAGCAGAGGCUCAGUGAAAUCGAAAUCGCUGUGAAGAUGCAGUGUACCCGCGGCUAGACGGAAAGACCCCGUGAACCUUUACUGCAGCUUGACACUGAACUUUGACCUUACUUGUGUAGGAUAGGUGGGAGGCUUUGAAGCUGGAACGCUAGUUCCAGUGGAGCCGUCCUUGAAAUACCACCCUGGUAAUGUUGAGGUUCUAACUCUGUCCCGUGAUCCGGGACGAGGACCGUGUCUGGUGGGUAGUUUGACUGGGGCGGUCUCCUCCUA